ACCAAUUUCAGCUGCUGCAUAUAAGCAGGUCUCUACCUGCCACAAGACUACUUGCGUCAUGACGUCAACUCAUUCUGCUUCCUUUGUUUGCUGAACUGUGCUGGGUAAGCGUGGCUGUUUCUUUGUUUGUCAGCUUUUAUCGUAGCAAUUAAUGCAAGCUGGUCUGAUCUGUUUAGCCUCCCUUGCUGCUCCUCCAACUCCUGGACCAAACUGUUCGGUUGUUUGUUGCCGGGAAGGUAAGCGCUAGCGUGGGUAGGUAACAUCCAUCUCAUGUAAACGAAGCCUUUAUGUAGUAUUCUGUUACAGCUGCGCUCCACAGGCGAACUUGUGGAUCUGUUUAUCUGGCCGUGUGGUAAUUUACAGGGACUGAGGCUUCUGUGGUGGCGGUGGUGAUCCCUGGUGGCGGUGUCUUGUCUUGUGUGUUUUGUUGGAGCACCGUGUUUUUGUAGUGUGAAGGGUGAUUCCUUUUCUUCACUGGAUGUUGCCCCUUUCCUCGCUACUCUCCCCCCACUGGUAAGCCUCAGUUUCCUUUGAAGUUUAAACAUUUUAUAAUCAACUUCAUUAAAAAGGCAUUCACUGUUUUAACCAUUCAAUUUCAUGUUGUUGUUAAUUUAAACAACAUAUUGAAGUUUAAUACAUUUUUUUUGUAGAACUGUC
Molecule: long non-coding RNA, 657 nt
Organism: Xiphophorus couchianus (Monterrey platyfish)
Lineage: Eukaryota; Metazoa; Chordata; Actinopteri; Cyprinodontiformes; Poeciliidae
Exons: 2
Source: RefSeq, a predicted model, not a curated record